AUAACAAUACAGGACUCUUUCGAGGCCCUGUAAUUGGAAUGAGUCCACUUUAAAUCCUUUCGCGAGGAUCCAUUGGAGGGCUGGUCUUGUGCCAGCAGCGGCAGUAUUGCCAGCUCCAA
This 119-nucleotide non-coding RNA is filed under the name Loxodonta africana (African savanna elephant). Its description in RNAcentral is "Eukaryotic small subunit ribosomal RNA". It matches the Rfam family "Eukaryotic small subunit ribosomal RNA", at positions 477 to 594 of the family's 1831-position model. The record is from Rfam by way of RNAcentral. Lineage: Eukaryota; Metazoa; Chordata; Mammalia; Proboscidea; Elephantidae.